UGGGAACUUCCAUAUGCCGUGGGUGUGGCUCUAAAAGGACAAAAGACAAAAAAAAAAAAAAAAAAAAAGGGUGUAGGAUGAGGGUCAUUACCACCUUGUGAGAUGCCUUAUACUCCUGGUCCCUAAUGCUAAAUGCUAGCGGUGUCCCCAUCACCACCGUAGCAAUCCCCAAACUAACAGUGCCCAGGAGAGAAAAAAAGAAGGCAGACAGGACCAAGCAAGGACACAGAGAAGAGGAAGCACCAACCAGUGGGAGGUGCCAGGGGAAUGAAGAAUUCCAGCACGGCCAAAUUAAAGUACAGUAUAUAUAAUUCUAUGCAUCUGUUGGUGGCUCUGUAAUUAAUACAAAAAUAAUUGCCUCUUUUCGCCUGGCUCUCCCUCACCAACUCUACUUAAUGAACACUGCCAGUGACUUUUUAGAUAGGCAAUUAAAAUUUUUUAUUUAUUUCCGUUUUAUGUUUAUAGUAGUAGCUGCACACAUUGGGGGGAAGAGCGCAUGCAGCAGCAAAGCUUGGCCUCAACUACCACUCGAAAGGCAACCAAGAGCAUUUGCUUUCAUUUUUUUUUUUUCUUAAUCUCUUGUACACAAUUUGUUCUGAACGGUAAAACGUAAUGACAUCCAUUCUCAUGCCCUGUUCCUUCACUUUCUAGUUUUAAUUUUCCGCCAGUCCUCAUCUUCAGACCUAGAGGGAAAAGGGGUUCUCUUCUUUUAAGAUAAAAAAUAAAUUUUUUUAAAAAAGGGUAUGUUUUCCCAAAAGUGGUCCAAGAGUUAGGUCUCCUCUUUACUGUCCUCUUCUAGGACAGAAACACUGACCUUCCAGAAGAGCCUAGCACUUCCUCAAUCGGGGUGGGAUGUGAGAACUCUCAGACAGAAAUAGCAUCAUGGCCGUGUUUUAUUUUAUUUAUUUAUUUAUCUAUCUAUUUAUUUAUUUUGCUUAGGGUCGCACUCUCGGCAUGUGGAGGCCAGCAGCUGUAGCUCCAAUUCGACCCCUACCCUGGGAACUUCCAUAUGCCAUGGGUGUGGCCCUAAAAAGUAAUAAAUAAAUAAAGAGCACUUCUUCACCACAAAAAUGUUGCUAUCUUUUGACUCAGAAAUUUAAGCCUAUAAAAAUAUCCCAACAUAUUGAAUGUCUUUAAACACAAAGAUGUUCAUCACAGUGUUAAGUAUUAUUGAAUAAAGUUGGAAAUGAAUAAAUUACCCAACAUCAAAAGAAUGUUUUAUUAAACUCUGAUAAUAUAAGUAAUAGAAUUCAUCUUGCUGUUUGCAAUGAUGUUUCCAAGAGAAAGAAUACAGAGGAGUCUCCGUUUCCAUUUCCAUUGUGGCUCAGUGGAAAUGAACCCGACUAGAAUCCAUGAGGAUUUGGGUUUGAUACCUGGCCUCGCUCACUGGGUCAAGGAUCUGCUGUGGCUGUGGCUGUGAUGCAGGCUGGCAGCUGCAGCUCUGAUUUGACCCCUAGCCUGGGAACUUCCAAAAAAGCCUGGGGUGCAGCCCUAAAUAGCAAAAAAAAAAAAAAAAAAAAAA
This 1522-nucleotide long non-coding RNA is filed under the name Sus scrofa (pig). Its description in RNAcentral is "lncRNA (ENSSSCG00005002358.1)". Lineage: Eukaryota; Metazoa; Chordata; Mammalia; Artiodactyla; Suidae. The record is from RNAcentral.